RNAcentral lists this ribosomal RNA (446 nucleotides) under uncultured bacterium. Its description in RNAcentral is "bacterial SSU rRNA". It matches the Rfam family "Bacterial small subunit ribosomal RNA", at positions 355 to 825 of the family's 1533-position model. The record is from RNAcentral.
UGGGGAAUAUUGGACAAUGGGCGAAAGCCUGAUCCAGCCAUGCCGCGUGAGUGACGAAGGCCUUAGGGUUGUAAAACUCUUUCGUCGGGGACGAUAAUGACGGUACCCGAAGAAGAAGCUCCGGCUAACUUCGUGCCAGCAGCCGCGGUAAUACGAAGGGAGCUAGCGUUGUUCGGAAUCACUGGGCGUAAAGCGCACGUAGGCGGAUAGUUAAGUCAGGGGUGAAAUCCUGGGGCUCAACCCCAGAACUGCCUUUGAUACUGGCUGUCUCGAGGUCGAGAGAGGUUGGUGGAAUUCCUAGUGUAGAGGUGAAAUUCGUAGAUAUUAGGAAGAACACCGGUGGCGAAGGCGGCCCACUGGAUCGGUACUGACGCUGAGGUGCGAAAGCGUGGGGAGCAAACAGGAUUAGAUACCCUGUAGUCCCUGAGCGGGCUGGCAAGGCGCAU